Molecule: ribosomal RNA, 457 nt
Filed under: Heteractis doreensis
Lineage: Eukaryota; Metazoa; Cnidaria; Anthozoa; Actiniaria; Stichodactylidae
Description: partial large subunit ribosomal RNA
Rfam family: Bacterial large subunit ribosomal RNA
Source: RNAcentral
AAUGUAGCGUAAUCAAUAGCCAAUUAAUUGUUGGCCGGUAUGAAUGGCGUCACGAAGGCCCCACUGUCUUAAGAGGACUCUCCAUGAAAUUGAAUUCGUAGUGAAGAUGCUACGUCCAUAUUGUAAGACGAAAAGACCCCAUUGAGCUUUACUAAAGACUUGCAUGGCUCAAAAUAAUUUGACUUAAAUAAAGAGUUUAGAUAAUGUGGGACCCGUUUCUGGUUAAUGAAACACCACUCUUUUAUUUUAAGAGAGCUAACAUUACAGGGAUAGUGUAAGUUGGAUAGUUUGGUUGGGGCGACCACCUUUUAAAAGGUAACGAAGGUGAGCUUAAGGUCCGUAGUUAAUAGCCGGUGGCCUGACUGCAAGGGGGACGUCUCGAGCAGACACGUCCUUAGGGAUGUGGACUAUAGUGACCCGUCAUCUUAGUGUGGAAUAGUUGACGAUCAACGAAUAA